GAUGAACGCUGGCGGCGUGCCUAAUACAUGCAAGUCGAGCGAACAGAUAAGGAGCUUGCUCCUUUGACGUUAGCGGCGGACGGGUGGGUAACACGUGGGUAACCUACCUAUAAGACUGGAAUAACUCCGGGAAACCGGGGCUAAUGCCGGAUAACAUUUAGAACCGCAUGGUUCUAAAGUGAAAGAUGGUUUUGCUAUCACUUAUAGAUGGACCCACGCCGUAUUAGCUAGUUGGUAAGGUAACGGCUUACCAAGGCAACGAUACGUAGCCGACCUGAGAGGGUGAUCGGCCACACUGGAACUGAGACACGGUCCAGACUCCUACGGGAGGCAGCAGUAGGGAAUCUUCCGCAAUGGGCGAAAGCCUGACGGAGCAACGCCGCGUGAGUGAUGAAGGUCCUCGGAUCGUAAAACUCUGUUAUUAGGGAAGAACAAAUGUGUAAGUAACUGUGCACGUCUUGACGGUACCUAAUCAGAAAGCCACGGCUAACUACGUG
Molecule: ribosomal RNA, 497 nt
Filed under: uncultured bacterium
Lineage: Bacteria
Description: partial 16S ribosomal RNA
Rfam family: Bacterial small subunit ribosomal RNA
Source: RNAcentral